This 494-nucleotide ribosomal RNA is filed under the name uncultured bacterium. RNAcentral's name for it is "partial 16S ribosomal RNA". It matches the Rfam family "Bacterial small subunit ribosomal RNA", at positions 28 to 507 of the family's 1533-position model. The record is from RNAcentral.
GACGAACGCUGGCGGCGCGCUUAACACAUGCAAGUCGAACGGAAAGGCCUGCUUUCCCUUGUGUGUUGCGGGUACUCGCGUGUCGAACGGGUGAGUAACACGUGAGUUAUCUUCCCCCAACUUGUGUAUAAGCCUGGGAAACUAGGUCUAAUUACCUAUAGGACUGCAGGGUGGUGCCGGUGGUUUAGAACGAUUGUCUAGUGGUUGGGGAUUAGCUCGCGGCCUGUCAGCUUGUUGGUGGGGUCAUGGCCUACCAAGGCGGGGACGGGUAGGCUGCCUGGGAGGGCGGACGGGCACAUUGGGACGGAGAUACGGCCCAGACUACUCCGGCAGGAAGCAGUCGGGAAGCAUGAAUAAGGAGCGGAAGACUGAUGCCGGGACGCUGAGUGGGCGAUGCCGGCCUUCGGGUUGUAAACUCCUUUCGACAGAGAGGAAGCCACCUGGUUGGAAGGGUGGUGACGGUAGUGGGAGAAGAAGCACCGGCUAACUACGUG